CUCUUCUUCUCUUGAGGCAGUCGAAACCCUAGGAGAGGCACAACAAAGGCACAGGCGCAGGCGCCCCUCAGCCGUGCGGCGGCCUGGCCCUUGGGUGCGGCAGCUCGAUCGGCCUUCCAGUCCUGGCCGGCCAGCGGCAGGCCACACGAAGGAGCAGCCAGCGUGUGUGCUUUCUAGGUGUUGAAGUGGGGCGCCAGAUCUGGAGUAUCGAGGAGCUGCAGUGCGGGAUGAGAUCAGAGGAGCGGUGCCGGACCUGAAACAGAGCUGCGACGGCACAUCGUUCAAAUUUGAAUGUGCAAAACUGCGGUCGCUUUAGUAAACUAGUACUGGCUGGUUCAACAUAUAGAUUAAGUUGAUCGGCAUUGGAAUAUUCCAAAGCUUUUGCUAAUUUAUUUAUUAGUGGA
Long non-coding RNA from Sorghum bicolor (sorghum), 404 nucleotides. RefSeq lists it as uncharacterized. Lineage: Eukaryota; Viridiplantae; Streptophyta; Magnoliopsida; Poales; Poaceae. The transcript has 2 exons. The record is from RefSeq and is a predicted model, not a curated record.